Homo sapiens (human) is the source of this 2027-nucleotide long non-coding RNA. RefSeq lists it as uncharacterized. NCBI's taxonomy places the organism in Eukaryota, Metazoa, Chordata, Mammalia, Primates, Hominidae. The record is from RefSeq and is a predicted model, not a curated record. The transcript has 3 exons.
GUUGCCUAUGGAUUACAUUACAGCACACUACAACCUCGAACUCCUGGGCUCAAGUGAUCCUCCUGUGCUAGCCUCUCAAGCAGCUAGGACUACAGUUUUACUUGCUUCCAACAGGAAGGCAAGUUUUCCUCCUUCCAUGACGAUGAAAGGCAGGUAACUCCUUUAUGGAAUUUGAGCUGGCUUCCAACAGGGAAGAUGAGGUUUUUUUUCCUGCCUCUAGAAUAGUAGAGAGCAGUCUACAGCCUGAGACCCAUCACUAGGACACAAUUGAAGAAACUGGUAGUUUUACCAAGGCUUUGACUGGAAUGGUGCACUUUCCUAUAAGGAAUCAAACUUGACUUAAGAAGCCAAUAAAGCCCUUGGAAAAACUGGCCUCAUAUUUUGUGUACACAGUCCGUGUACAGGGUUUCUGGCCUGUGGUAAGUAAAGAAUAUCACUUUCUGACAGGCACGGAAGCCCCAGAUUUAUCUUGGAUCCUCAAGAGGAGAGGAAAUUCAGACCAAGUACAGUGGCUCACACCUGUAAUCCCAGCACUUUGGGAGGCCGAGGUGGGUGGAUCACUUGAGGCCAGGAGUUCGAGACCAGCCUGGCCAACAUGGUGAAACCCCAUCUCUGCUGAAAUUACAAAAAUUAGCCAGACACAGUGGCACGCACCUGUAAUCCCAUCUACUUGGGAAGCUGAGGCAUGAGAAUUGCUUGAUCCCAGGAGGCAGAGGUUGCAGUGGGCCAAGAUCAUGCCAUUGCACUCUAGCCUGGGUGACAGAGCAAGAAUCUGUCUCAAAAAAAAAAAGUUGGGGGAGAGGAAAUUCACCCAACUUGUAGGUAUUUGAUGGCACAAAUUCAUGGCUGGAUUCAGCUUUAAAAUCUUAUCUGAGAUUCCUCCUAUGGAACAAAGUUUCAUCAAAGCCCAUUUAAAAGCCUAUGUAAAAAAUAAUUAUUUUUGCUGAACUGUAUACAAAUAAUUUGGCCAAGCAUAAUAAGCAAACCAAUCCUACCAUGAUUUAUCUUUAGUAAAAUGGGAAACUAGAGAGAGAGAGAAAAAAAUGUUUCAAGACGAUAGUACACUCGUUGUUAGAGUCUAGUCUUGCCUAAUUUUUUUUUUUUUAAUUUUUUAUUAUGUUCUACAGUUUGGGCUGAAUUCUAAUUGUUUCUUGGCUACAAGUCUUCAAAAUAAUGUUUUCAACUUUUUCUUUUUUUUCCCUUCUUUUUUUCCCAUGUUUCCUAAUUAGGAGUCACUGAAAACUAAGCUGUGCUUUCUUAAAGCCCAGCUAACUGAGACUAAACAACUUAAACUUCAGAAGAAAAUAACAGCAACCAAUUUACAUACCUGCCUACUGACUAUAGACUUCAGAGAAAUGUGGCCUAUAUAGAUUUUCCAAGAAUGUUCUUUUGUUUGUUGUUGUUUUUUCUCCCUUCCUCCCCACUAUUUUUCCUUCAUAGGACAUGAGACUUCACAACCUGCUAAAAAUCUUCGUUCGGGACCUACCUGUCUAGGAAUAAACCAUCCUUGCCAUGAGAGAUCAAAUGAAACCUGAGACCAGAGAUUCAUUUUCUUGUAAAAUGCCUUCUCCAAAAGAUUUUUGAAAAGAAAGGGGGGAAAUAUGAAAGGAAAUUAAAGCUUGGGGCCCCCAAAUCACUAAGCUAAAGGGAAUAGUCAAGCUGGGAACUGCUUAGGGCAAAGCUGCCUCCCAUUCUAUUCAAAGUCACCCCUGUGCUCACUGAGAUAGAUGCAUAUCUGAUUGCCUCCUUUGGAAAGGCUAACAGAAUCUCAAAAGAAUGUAACCAUUUGUGUAUCACCUAUCUGUGACCUGGAAGCCUCCUCCCCACUUCAAGUCUUCCUGCCUUUCCAGACUGAACCAAUGUACUUCUUACAUAUAUUGAUUGAUGUCUCAUGCCUCCCUAAAAUGUAUAAAACUAAGCUGUACCCCAACCACCUUGGGCACAGGUCUUCAGGACUUCCUGAGGCUGUCACGGACACAUGUCCCCAACCUUGGCAAAAUAAACAAUUAACUGAGACCUGUCUCAAA